CGCCGUAUUUCCUGCAGCCAAUGUGGGGUCUACUCUAUAUUAUGUCUAUGGUCUCUGGACUUUAUCGGAGGCUUUAACAACAGGUUUGACAGGGAGAAAGUUCCUCAUUCUGCUACAAAAAACAGCUGGUUUCCUUCUCCUGCUGAGAAAUCAGAGAAAACACGCGGAUGAAAAGCAACUCCAGGAGCGCUGAGAUCCAGGUUUAGAUCCAACGCUUGUUAAAUAGUUGCCAGGAGAAACCACGAUGCUGCAGCCAUAUUGAGAGGGAAGCUGGAGAACCUGUCUGCAAGUGUCUGAAAGCCGCACGUCGCCGUGGCAACAAGUGUUUAUGACACCCGAGCCGCCGUCUGCUGCUGCAUGUGGAAUAUCAUCCAGGAAUGCCGUGCGGAGGCACACCUGACAGCCAGUUGGGCGGCGGCUCCGGUUUAUAGCGGCCCGCUCCGCUUCCGUCUCUGCAUCCUUUAACUGCACAGGAACACAUGAGUCACAGCGUUACCUGAUGUGGGUGUGAACGCCUGUUGCUUUAAGAGGCAACAAGCUGUUGUUUUAGUUAGCAGCCGAG
Molecule: non-coding RNA, 562 nt
Organism: Poecilia reticulata (guppy)
Lineage: Eukaryota; Metazoa; Chordata; Actinopteri; Cyprinodontiformes; Poeciliidae
Source: RefSeq, a predicted model, not a curated record